AAAUUGAAGAGUUUGAUCAUGGCUCAGAUUGAACGCUGGCGGCAGGCCUAACACAUGCAAGUCGAGCGGUAGCACAGAGAGCUUGCUCUCGGGUGACGAGCGGCGGACGGGUGAGUAAUGUCUGGGAAACUGCCUGAUGGAGGGGGAUAACUACUGGAAACGGUAGCUAAUACCGCAUAACGUCGCAAGACCAAAGUGGGGGACCUUCGGGCCUCAUGCCAUCAGAUGUGCCCAGAUGGGAUUAGCUAGUAGGUGGGGUAACGGCUCACCUAGGCGACGAUCCCUAGCUGGUCUGAGAGGAUGACCAGCCACACUGGAACUGAGACACGGUCCAGACUCCUACGGGAGGCAGCAGUGGGGAAUAUUGCACAAUGGGCGCAAGCCUGAUGCAGCCAUGCCGCGUGUGUGAAGAAGGCCUUCGGGUUGUAAAGCACUUUCAGCGGGGAGGAAGGCGUUAAGGUUAAUAACCUUGGCGAUUGACGUUACCCGCAGAAGAAGCACCGGCUAACUCCGUGCCAGCAGCCGCGGUAAUACGGAGGGUGCAAGCGUUAAUCGGAAUUACUGGGCGUAAAGCGCACGCAGGCGGUCUGUCAAGUCGGAUGUGAAAUCCCCGGGCUCAACCUGGGAACUGCAUUCGAAACUGGCAGGCUAGAGUCUUGUAGAGGGGGGUAGAAUUCCAGGUGUAGCGGUGAAAUGCGUAGAGAUCUGGAGGAAUACCGGUGGCGAAGGCGGCCCCCUGGACAAAGACUGACGCUCAGGUGCGAAAGCGUGGGGAGCAAACAGGAUUAGAUACCCUGGUAGUCCACGCCGUAAACGAUGUCGAUUUGGAGGUUGUGCCCUUGAGGCGUGGCUUCCGGAGCUAACGCGUUAAAUCGACCGCCUGGGGAGUACGGCCGCAAGGUUAAAACUCAAAUGAAUUGACGGGGGCCCGCACAAGCGGUGGAGCAUGUGGUUUAAUUCGAUGCAACGCGAAGAACCUUACCUGGUCUUGACAUCCACAGAACUUUCCAGAGAUGGAUUGGUGCCUUCGGGAACUGUGAGACAGGUGCUGCAUGGCUGUCGUCAGCUCGUGUUGUGAAAUGUUGGGUUAAGUCCCGCAACGAGCGCAACCCUUAUCCUUUGUUGCCAGCGGUUAGGCCGGGAACUCAAAGGAGACUGCCAGUGAUAAACUGGAGGAAGGUGGGGAUGACGUCAAGUCAUCAUGGCCCUUACGACCAGGGCUACACACGUGCUACAAUGGCAUAUACAAAGAGAAGCGACCUCGCGAGAGCAAGCGGACCUCAUAAAGUAUGUCGUAGUCCGGAUGGAGUCUGCAACUCGACUCCAUGAAGUCGGAAUCGCUAGUAAUCGUAGAUCAGAAUGCUACGGUGAAUACGUUCCCGGGCCUUGUACACACCGCCCGUCACACCAUGGGAGUGGGUUGCAAAAGAAGUAGGUAGCUUAACCUUCGGGAGGGCGCUUACCACUUUGUGAUUCAUGACUGGGGUGAAGUCGUAACAAGGUAACCGUAGGGGAACCUGCGGUUGGAUCACCUCCUUACCUUAAAGAA
This 1549-nucleotide ribosomal RNA is filed under the name Klebsiella pneumoniae. RNAcentral describes it as "bacterial SSU rRNA". It matches the Rfam family "Bacterial small subunit ribosomal RNA". Lineage: Bacteria; Pseudomonadati; Pseudomonadota; Gammaproteobacteria; Enterobacterales; Enterobacteriaceae. The record is from RNAcentral.